RNAcentral lists this unclassified non-coding RNA (267 nucleotides) under Hevea brasiliensis (rubber tree). Lineage: Eukaryota; Viridiplantae; Streptophyta; Magnoliopsida; Malpighiales; Euphorbiaceae. The record is from RNAcentral.
GUUCCUUUAACAGGUUUUAUAAGUGAGUAAACUACUAUUUAGUCCCUCAAAUAUGUUAAAACUUAAUGACUUGACCCUCAUAUUUUCAAAAAUAAAUGAUUUAGUCUCUUACAUUUGAUUCUGUUGAGUAUUUGGCCCCUCUGUCCAUUUUUGUCAAUUGAACCAUUAGUCAAGGGACUGAAAUAUGGUCAACAAGGAACAAAAGUGUUAAUAAUGGUAAAAAUGCAGGGACAAAAGUGUCUAUCAUUAAUGGCAAAAGUUGAGAAA